GGAUAGAUGCCCGAGUGGUUAACGGGGACGGACUGUAAAUUCGUUGACAAUAUGUCUACGCUGGUUCAAAUCCAGCUCGGCCCA
This 84-nucleotide transfer RNA is filed under the name Centaurea solstitialis (yellow star-thistle). It matches the Rfam family "tRNA". From Rfam's summary of the family: Transfer RNA (tRNA) molecules are approximately 80 nucleotides in length. Their secondary structure includes four short double-helical elements and three loops (D, anti-codon, and T loops). The record is from Rfam by way of RNAcentral. Lineage: Eukaryota; Viridiplantae; Streptophyta; Magnoliopsida; Asterales; Asteraceae.